CGCGGGAUGGAGCAGUCUGGUAGCUCGUCGGGCUCAUAACCCGAAGGUCGAAGGUUCAAAUCCUUCCCCCGCCACCA
Molecule: transfer RNA, 77 nt
Filed under: Alteromonas sp.
Lineage: Bacteria; Pseudomonadati; Pseudomonadota; Gammaproteobacteria; Alteromonadales; Alteromonadaceae
Description: tRNA-Met
Rfam family: tRNA
About the family: Transfer RNA (tRNA) molecules are approximately 80 nucleotides in length. Their secondary structure includes four short double-helical elements and three loops (D, anti-codon, and T loops). Further hydrogen bonds mediate the characteristic L-shaped molecular structure. tRNAs have two regions of fundamental functional importance: the anti-codon, which is responsible for specific mRNA codon recognition, and the 3' end, to which the tRNAs corresponding amino acid is attached (by aminoacyl-tRNA synthetases). tRNAs cope with the degeneracy of the genetic code in two manners: having more than one tRNA (with a specific anti-codon) for a particular amino acid; and 'wobble' base-pairing, i.e. permitting non-standard base-pairing at the 3rd anti-codon position.
Source: RNAcentral